AGGAUUAUAGGUUAAAACACAAGAAACCAUUGGCCUUCAAAGCCGAAAUUGAGAUUUCUGAUCCUG
Molecule: transfer RNA, 66 nt
Filed under: Aplysia kurodai (Kuroda's sea hare)
Lineage: Eukaryota; Metazoa; Mollusca; Gastropoda; Aplysiida; Aplysiidae
Description: tRNA-Trp
Source: RNAcentral